AGCAGCCGCGGUAAUUCCAGCUCCAAUAGCGUAUAUUAAAGUUGUUGCAGUUAAAAAGCUCGUAGUUGAACUUCAGGCCUGGCUGGACGGUCCGCCCUCUGGGUGAGCACUGUCUGUGGUCGGGUCCUACCUUCUGGCGAAGCGGCAUGGCCUUAACCGGCCGUGGCGGGGAACCAGGACUUUUACUGUGAAAAAAUUAGAGUGUUCAAAGCAGGCACGCGCUUGAAUACAUUAGCAUGGAAUAAUGGAAUAGGACAAUGGUUCUAUUUGUUGGUUUCUAGGACCGUUGUAAUGAUUAAUAGGGAUAGUUGGGGGCAUUAGUAUUCAAUUGUCAGAGGUGAAAUUCUUGGAUUUAUUGAAGACUAACUACUGCGAAAGCAUUUGCCAAGGAUGUUUUCAUUAAUCAAGAACGAAAGUUAGGGGAUCGAAGACGAUCAGAUACCGUCGUAGUCUUAACCAUAAACUAUGCCGACUAGGAAUCGGGCGAUGUUGAAAAAUGAACGCGCUCGGCA
RNAcentral lists this ribosomal RNA (512 nucleotides) under uncultured fungus. Its description in RNAcentral is "SSU rRNA". It matches the Rfam family "Eukaryotic small subunit ribosomal RNA", at positions 569 to 1085 of the family's 1831-position model. Lineage: Eukaryota; Fungi. The record is from RNAcentral.